RNAcentral lists this ribosomal RNA (829 nucleotides) under uncultured bacterium. RNAcentral's name for it is "bacterial SSU rRNA". It matches the Rfam family "Bacterial small subunit ribosomal RNA", at positions 62 to 857 of the family's 1533-position model. The record is from RNAcentral.
UCGAACGAAACUUCUUUAUCACCGAGUGCUUGCACUCCCCGAUCAUUAGAUGAGUGGCGAACGGGUGAGUAACACGUGGGCAACCUGCCCAAAAGAGGGGGAUAACACUUGGAAACAGGUGCUAAUACCGCAUAACCAUAGUUACCGCAUGGUAACUAUGUAAAAGGUGGCUAUACUACCGCUUUUGGAUGGGCCCGCGGCGCAUUAGCUAGUUGGUAGGGUAAAGGCUUACCAAGGCAAUGAUGCGUAGCCGAAUUGAGAGGUUGAUCGGCCACAUUGGGACUGAGACACGGCCCAAACUCCUACGGGAGGCAGCAGUAGGGAAUCUUCCACAAUGGGCGAAAGCCUGAUGGAGCAACGCCGCGUGGGUGAAGAAGGUCUUCGGAUCGUAAAACCCUGUUGUUAGAGAAGAAAGUGCGUGAGAGUAACUGUUCACGUUUCGACGGUAUCUAACCAGAAAGCCACGGCUAACUACGUGCCAGCAGCCGCGGUAAUACGUAGGUGGCAAGCGUUAUCCGGAUUUAUUGGGCGUAAAGGGAACGCAGGCGGUCUUUUAAGUCUGAUGUGAAAGCCUUCGGCUUAACCGGAGUAGUGCAUUGGAAACUGGGAGACUUGAGUGCAGAAGAGGAGAGUGGAACUCCAUGUGUAGCGGUGAAAUGCGUAGAUAUAUGGAAGAACACCAGUGGCGAAAGCGGCUCUCUGGUCUGUAACUGACGCUGAGGUUCGAAAGCGUGGGUAGCAAACAGGAUUAGAUACCCUGGUAGUCCACGCCGUAAACGAUGAAUGCUAAGUGUUGGAGGGUUUCCGCCCUUCAGUGCUGCAGCUAACG